Molecule: non-coding RNA, 71 nt
Organism: Podarcis lilfordi (Lilford's wall lizard)
Lineage: Eukaryota; Metazoa; Chordata; Lepidosauria; Squamata; Lacertidae
Source: the annotation of a GenBank genome assembly
GGGCCAUAGCUCACUGGUAGAGCAUCCGUUUUGCAUGCAGAAGGUCCCAGGUUCUAUCUCUGCCGUCCCCA